RNAcentral lists this ribosomal RNA (1185 nucleotides) under Rhizophagus sp. MUCL 43203. Its description in RNAcentral is "eukaryotic LSU rRNA". It matches the Rfam family "Eukaryotic large subunit ribosomal RNA", at positions 85 to 1122 of the family's 3401-position model. The record is from RNAcentral. Lineage: Eukaryota; Fungi; Glomeromycota; Glomeromycetes; Glomerales; Glomeraceae.
AACUGCGAGUGAAGAGGGACAAGCUCAAAUUUUAAAUCUAUCGGGUUUUACCCGAUCGAGUUGUAAUUUGAAGAGGCGUUUUCUGUGUUUCUGAUCAGUCCAAGUCCUUUGGGAUAAGGCAUCAUGGAGGGUGAGAAUCCCGUCCGGUUGAUCAGAUUCGCUUUACGAUACGCUUUCUAAGAGUCAAGUUGUUUGGGAUUGCAGCUUAAAAUGGGAGGUAAAUUUCUCCUAAGGCUAAAUAACGGCGAGAGACCGAUAGCGAACAAGUACCGUGAGGGAAAGAUGAAAAGAACUUUGAAAAGAGAGUUAAACAGUACGUGAAAUUGUUGAAAGGGAAACGAUUGAAGCCAGUCGUACCUAUGGGUAAUCAGCCUUUUGGGUGUGAUUUUGUGGAGCGUGAGGAGUUAAACGCCUUCAUGCCUGCAUAUUCGUGCACUUUGGGUGUACUUGCCCGUAUGGUUGGUUAACAUCAAUUUUGGUGGUCAUAAAAUGACUGGAGGAAUGUAGCUUCGAUCUCGUAUUGAAGUGUUAUAGCCUUCGGUAGAUGUGAUGAUCGAGAUUGAGGAUUGCAACGGAUACCCUUCGGGGCUACCUGUCUGAUCUCUGAUCGUUGCUCUGGUGCCGAAAGCUUGCUUACGGUUAUCAAAGUCGAUGGUCAAUAGGUUAGAACGGGUUAAAUUCGUUAAGGAUGUUGACGUAAUGGCUUUAAACGACCCGUCUUGAAACACGGACCAAGGAGUCUAACAUAUAUGCGAGUGUUAGGGUGAUUAAACCCUUACGCGUAAUGAAAGUAAUUUUGGUGGGAACAUUUUUGUGCACCAUCGACCGAUCAGGAUAUUUUUUGAUAGAUUUGAGUAAGAGCAUAUCUGCUAGGACCCGAAAGAUGGUGAACUAUGCCUGAAUAGGGUGAAGUCAGAGGAAACUCUGAUGGAGGCUCGUAGCGGUUCUGACGUGCAAAUCGAUCGUCAAAUUUGGGUAUAGGGGCGAAAGACUAAUCGAACCAUCUAGUAGCUGGUUCCUGCCGAAGUUUCCCUCAGGAUAGCAGAAACUCGUUAACAGUUUUAUGAGGUAAAGCGAAUGAUUAGAGGCCUUAGGGUUGAAACAGCCUUAACCUAUUCUCAAACUUUAAAUAUGUAAGAAGUUUAUCGUUACUUAAUUGAAGCGUGAACAUUCGAAUGAGAGUUU